RNAcentral lists this ribosomal RNA (524 nucleotides) under uncultured bacterium. Its description in RNAcentral is "partial 16S ribosomal RNA". It matches the Rfam family "Bacterial small subunit ribosomal RNA", at positions 36 to 538 of the family's 1533-position model. The record is from RNAcentral.
AUUGAACGCUGGCGGCAGGCCUAACACAUGCAAGUCGAGCGGAUGAAGGGAGCUUGCUCCUGGAUUCAGCGGCGGACGGGUGAGUAAUGCCUAGGAAUCUGCCUGGUAGUGGGGGAUAACGUCCGGAAACGGGCGCUAAUACCGCAUACGUCCUGAGGGAGAAAGUGGGGGAUCUUCGGACCUCACGCUAUCAGAUGAGCCUAGGUCGGAUUAGCUAGUUGGUGGGGUAAAGGCCUACCAAGGCGACGAUCCGUAACUGGUCUGAGAGGAUGAUCAGUCACACUAGAACUGCUACGCGGUGCAGACUCCUGAGGGAGGUCGGAGUAGAGAAUAUUGGACCAGGCGCAACAGGCGGCUCCACACAGGGCUGGUUUGGUAAGAUGGUCUUCGUUUAGUAAAGCACUAGAGUUGGGGAGGAAGCGCAGUAACUUAAUCCCGUGUUUUUGUGACCUCACAAACAGAAUAAGCACCUGCCAACUUGGUGCCACCACCAGCGGUAAGAAUCGAACAGAACACGUCUGAAC